RNAcentral lists this ribosomal RNA (266 nucleotides) under uncultured archaeon. RNAcentral's name for it is "partial 16S ribosomal RNA". It matches the Rfam family "Archaeal small subunit ribosomal RNA", at positions 718 to 982 of the family's 1478-position model. The record is from RNAcentral.
AGUCACUGACAUUAGAUACCCCUGUAGUCCAGGGUGUGAACGCUGCAGACUUGGUGUUGGAGGCCCUUUGGGGGCAUUCAGUGUCCGGAGAGAAGUUGUUAAGUCUGCUACUUGGGGAGUACGUCCGCAAGGAUGAAACUUAAAGGAAUUGGCGGGGGAGCACCGCAACGGGAGGAGCGUGCGGUUUAAUUGGAUUCAACACCGUAAAACUCACCAGGGAAGACUGUUACAUGAAGGCCGAGAUGAAGACUCUGCUAGAUUUUCAG